AUUAUUAUUUUUUAAAAGACAGAGAGAGAGAGAGAGAGAGAGAAUUUUAAUAUUUAUUUAUUUUUUUUUAGUUCUCCGCGGACACAACAUCUUUGUAUGUGGUGCUGAGGAUCGAACCUGGGCCGCACGCAUGCCAGGCGAGCGCGCUACCGCUUGAGCCACACACAUCCCCAGCCCCCAGACAUUUAAACCCCUAAUUGCUUGGUAGCUUGGUUCUGAUUUUGCAUUGUGUCUCAAUCUAGAUUGUUCCUACCAUGAUUCUCUGGAAAAAGUAGUAGUCUCCCCUGACAGAUGCUAAUUUUCCAUUUUGGGAGGGCUGGACUACCUACAUAAUGAGGUUCUCAUGUAGAAACACGGAUGAUAUUAAACUAAACAAGCAUCUUACAGUGUAGUGACCAUAAGUGGCAAGUUGUUAAUGUUUGUGCAAGAUAUCAGUGUCCUUUGCCAUACUCCAUUGAGCAAUAGAGAAAGCUAAGACUUGUAAGUUCAUUAUUUUGAGUUAGAAUCAACAAUUAAAGUGCUUGUCUCUUUUAAUAUUGUUCACUUCCUGUUAUCUGUAUAGUGAAUAUAGAAUUUAAUUGCCAUAAUGAGGACAAUGCUCAAGUUCCUGUUGUAAACCAAGGAGAAAACUAAGAGAGUUAAAGAAUAUUUUUUUUAAGAAAUGAUAUUUUAUGAUUAUUUAAUAAAUUUCUUGUUCCUUAUUUUAUAGGUGAUAAAAACAGGGCAUAAUUAAGCAAAAUGACUUACUCUGGUUACAAAAUUACUUAGUAUCAGGGAUAGGACUAGAAUCUAGAAUCUAAAUUCCUUUUCCAGUCACUCUUAAAAAAGAUAUUCUAGCCAGGUGUGGUGGGACACACCUGUAAUCCUGC
RNAcentral lists this long non-coding RNA (869 nucleotides) under Marmota monax (woodchuck). The record is from RNAcentral. Lineage: Eukaryota; Metazoa; Chordata; Mammalia; Rodentia; Sciuridae.